GGCUUCAUAGUUCAGUUGGUGAGAGCAUCACACCAUUGCCACCGGGUCACAGGUUCAAACCCUGUUGAAGUCC
RNAcentral lists this transfer RNA (73 nucleotides) under Acropora cervicornis. Its description in RNAcentral is "tRNA-OTHER". It matches the Rfam family "tRNA". From Rfam's summary of the family: Transfer RNA (tRNA) molecules are approximately 80 nucleotides in length. Their secondary structure includes four short double-helical elements and three loops (D, anti-codon, and T loops). The record is from RNAcentral. Lineage: Eukaryota; Metazoa; Cnidaria; Anthozoa; Scleractinia; Acroporidae.